UUYRGCURUCACUUACAGAUGGACCCGCGGCGCAUUAGCUAGUUGGUGAGGUAACGGCUCACCAAGGCAACGAUGCGUAGCCGACCUGAGAGGGUGAUCGGCCACACUGGGACUGAGACACGGCCCAGACUCCUACGGGAGGCAGCAGUAGGGAAUCUUCCGCAAUGGACGAAAGUCUGACGGAGCAACGCCGCGUGAACGAUGAAGGCCUUCGGGUCGUAAAGUUCUGUUGUUAGGGAAGAACAAGUACCAGAGUAACUGCUGGUACCUUGACGGUACCUAACCAGAAAGCCACGGCUAACUACGUGCCAGCAGCCGCGGUAAUACGUAGGUGGCAAGCGUUGUCCGGAAUUAUUGGGCGUAAAGCGCGCGCAGGCGGUUUCUUAAGUCUGAUGUGAAAGCCCACGGCUCAACCGUGGAGGGUCAUUGGAAACUGGGGAACUUGAGUGCAGAAGAGGAGAGUGGAAUUCCACGUGUAGCGGUGAAAUGCGUAGAGAUGUGGAGGAACACCAGUGGCGAAGGCGACUCUCUGGUCUGUAACUGACGCUGAGGCGCGAAAGCGUGGGGAGCGAACAGGAUUAGAUACCCUGGUAGUCCACGCCGUAAACGAUGAGUGCUAAGUGUUAGAGGGUUUCCGCCCUUUAGUGCUGCAGCAAACGC
Molecule: ribosomal RNA, 660 nt
Filed under: Metabacillus niabensis
Lineage: Bacteria; Bacillati; Bacillota; Bacilli; Caryophanales; Bacillaceae
Description: bacterial SSU rRNA
Source: RNAcentral